UACGUAGGGUGCAAGCGUUGUCCGGAAUUAUUGGGCGUAAAGGGCUCGUAGGCGGUCUGUCGCGUCGAAUGUGAAAACCCAGGGCUUAACCCUGGGCCUGCUUCCGAUACGGGCAGACUAGAGGUAUGCAGGGGAGAACGGAAUUCCUGGUGUAGCGGUGAAAUGCGCAGAUAUCAGGAAGAACACCCGUGGCGAAGGAGGCUCUCUGGGACGGAACUGACGCUGAGACGCGAAAGCGUGGGGAGCGAACAGG
This 253-nucleotide ribosomal RNA is filed under the name uncultured bacterium. RNAcentral describes it as "partial 16S ribosomal RNA". It matches the Rfam family "Bacterial small subunit ribosomal RNA", at positions 524 to 776 of the family's 1533-position model. The record is from RNAcentral.